CCUACGGGAGGCUGCAGUAGGGAAUCUUCCACAAUGGACGUAAGUCUGAUGGAGCAACGCCGCGUGAGUGAAGAAGGGUUUCGGCGCGUAAAGCUCUGUUGGUAGUGAAGAAAGAUAGAGGUAGUAACUUGCCUUUAUUUGACGGUAAUUACUUAGAAAGUCACGGCUAACUACGUGCGAGCAGCCGCGGUAAUACGUAGGUGGACAGCGUUGUCCGGAUUUAUUGGUCGUAAAGGGAGUGCAGGCGGUUCAAUAAGACUGAUGUGAAAGCCUUCGGCUCAACCGGAGCAUUGCAUCAUAAACUGUUGAACUUGAGUGCAGAAGAGGAGAGUGGAACUCCAUGUGUAGCGGUGGAAUGCGUAGAUAUAUGGAAGAACACCAGUGGCGAAGGCGGCUCUCUGGUCUGCAACUGACGCUGAGGCUCGAAAGCAUGGGUAGCGAACAGGAUUAGAUACCCUGGUAGUC
Molecule: ribosomal RNA, 465 nt
Filed under: uncultured bacterium
Lineage: Bacteria
Description: partial 16S ribosomal RNA
Rfam family: Bacterial small subunit ribosomal RNA
Source: RNAcentral